RNAcentral lists this transfer RNA (88 nucleotides) under Asterophora parasitica. It matches the Rfam family "tRNA". From Rfam's summary of the family: Transfer RNA (tRNA) molecules are approximately 80 nucleotides in length. Their secondary structure includes four short double-helical elements and three loops (D, anti-codon, and T loops). Lineage: Eukaryota; Fungi; Basidiomycota; Agaricomycetes; Agaricales; Lyophyllaceae. The record is from Rfam by way of RNAcentral.
GCCCGCCUAGCUCAAUCGGCCAGAGCGUCAGACUUUUACGGCCAGUAUAACUAUCUGAAGGCUGCGAGUUCGACCCUCGCGGUGGGCU